This 466-nucleotide ribosomal RNA is filed under the name uncultured bacterium. RNAcentral's name for it is "partial 16S ribosomal RNA". It matches the Rfam family "Bacterial small subunit ribosomal RNA", at positions 28 to 507 of the family's 1533-position model. The record is from RNAcentral.
GAUGAACGCUGGCGGCGUGCUUAACACAUGCAAGUCGAACGGAAAGGCCCAAGCUUGCUUGGGUACUCGAGUGGCGAACGGGUGGGUAACACGUGGGUGAUCUGCCCUGCACUUCGGGAUAAGCCUGGGAAACUGGGUCUAAUACCGGAUAGGACCACCUUUUGGAUGGUGUGGUGGAAAGUUUUUCGGUGUGGGGUGAGCUCGCGGCCUAUCAGCUUGUUGGUGGGGUAAUGGCCUACCAAGGCGUCGACGGGUAGCCGGCCUGCGAGGGUGUACGGCCACAUUGGGACUGAGAGACGGCCCAGACGCCUACGGGAGGGAGCAGGGGGGAAGAUUGCACAAUGGGCGCAAGCCUGAUGCAGCGACGCCGCGUGGGGGAUGACUGCCUUCGGGUUGUAAACUCCUUUCGCUAGGGACGAAGCGUUAUGUGACGGUACCUGGAGAAGAAGCACCGGCUAACUACGUG